UUUGCAUUCCAAUGCUUUUAAUAUUUUUUCAAUUGUAUUUUUACAAAUAAGAACGUCAAUGCACACCACAACAAAGAUUAAAUAAGCAAGCAUAGCGCUUGACUCUACAAAAGAUAUAUCCCUUCGCUCUCAUGGAACAAAUAGAAAAGGUUAAAACAUAAAAUACUCUACACGAUUUCAGACACAUUUGUACAUCGAAUUUGAUGCGCAUGAAAGUACGGGCAAUGCUUUUAUCUGAUAUGUGUAUUACUUAACUGGAAAAAUAUGUAAAUAUCGUAAUAAUUUCAUGAAAAUUAGUUCAAUAAUUACAGUAUUUUUAGUUUAAUUAUUUUUAAGAAACAAAACCAAAGGAGAUUAUUAAAAAAUGGCUUAAAUGGCUACUGUGUGUUUACCAUGGGGUUUCAUCUUAACCCAAAAAUGUCUAAUAAAUGCGCAAACCUUGUGUAAAAUGGCGACUUUUUUUUUUAAACAAAAUCAAUAAUUACCAGAUUUACGCAUUUGCCAGAGAUAUUUGAGUUUGGUUGAAUACCCCAACUAUACAUAUUUAUAAAGCAAAAACCACAAAAAUAAUUAUAAGAAAAAUUACAGAUUACUUAAAACUCGGUAAACAUAAGAUAAAUAGCCAAAGGUUAAGUAUUAAAAAAAAAAAACAAUAAAAUAAAAAAGUAAUGCAUAGAUCGACACCAAAAACACCACGAUUGAGCACAAAGAA
Molecule: long non-coding RNA, 712 nt
Organism: Ceratitis capitata (Mediterranean fruit fly)
Lineage: Eukaryota; Metazoa; Arthropoda; Insecta; Diptera; Tephritidae
Exons: 3
Source: RefSeq, a predicted model, not a curated record